Molecule: non-coding RNA, 71 nt
Organism: Podarcis lilfordi (Lilford's wall lizard)
Lineage: Eukaryota; Metazoa; Chordata; Lepidosauria; Squamata; Lacertidae
Source: the annotation of a GenBank genome assembly
GGGGAAGGGCUCAGUGGCACAGCAUCGGCUUUCCAUGCAGAAGAACCCAAGUUCAAUCCCUGGUUUCUCCU